GCCGAAUCCUUUGCCCCUGGGCAAAAUCAGCUGCAGUUGUAUCAUUUUUUGACAGAAGUUCUGACAAAAUGUCAGCUUCUGCUUAAACACCUGCAGUGCCUGUGCAAUAUUCAUCAGUCUACCUGAAGUGCUAGAGAAAGCUGAUGUGCUGGCGGAACCACCUCCAGUGUUUUAAAGGAAAUGCCAUGUGGGAGGAGAGAAAUAGUGCUGAGCAAGAGCAGGAACAGCAUGGGACGGCCGUCUGCCAGGUUCUGCCUCGUCAUCCUGAAAUCCAGUUCUGCGGGAGCUCCUUGCUAGUUUUGUCACUUGGGUGCUGCAAGCAAAACAAGCACGCUGACCUUAGGAGGAGAAAAAGGAGGGCAGGUAGAUCAUAUCGUAUCUGCCAAGUUCAUACCUGCACAGUGACUGACCUGCCAGAUAGAGCUGGGGUGUCUGGGGCUGACUAUCCCAGACAGUCUCUGCUGCCCCCGAGAAGAAACUGUUAUCUUUCUGACAGGGUUUGAGAGAGAGUUGAG
Oxyura jamaicensis (ruddy duck) is the source of this 515-nucleotide long non-coding RNA. RefSeq lists it as uncharacterized. NCBI's taxonomy places the organism in Eukaryota, Metazoa, Chordata, Aves, Anseriformes, Anatidae. The record is from RefSeq and is a predicted model, not a curated record. The transcript is spliced from 3 exons.